AUUGUUCAAGUUAGUUGAAAAUAGACCGUCUCUGGUUAAAUUAGUUCUACACCAAGCCUUUAGGUGGCAGUAAAACGAAUUGGCACAAUGCGAAUUCCACACACAAGCCACAAAGAAGCCAUCAGCCGCGGUCAACAGCACCUUCCUGAUUGAACAGAACCACGCGUUGUCUGUGUGGUUUACAAGUUUCUUGGCGAUAUGGGGGGAAAGUUCCUCACAUACCAACGGAAAAUGGGCUUCAUAUACAUGCUGCUGUCUCAUAUGGCGAAGACGAGUCACCUGAAGGCCUAACUCGCCAUAGAAGACUGAAAGAAUUGUCCUGCAGGAUGCUGUGUCCUGCAAUCCUGUGUGCUGUGCUACAGACGCGUGUGGAGGUCAACCCAAAAUGGGCACAGUCUCACCACAGAAGAGUGAAAGAGGAUCCUGGCAGGGAGACGGUAGUGUCCUGCAGAAUGGUGAUGGGCCAAUCUUACAAGAGACCACAGAAAACUGAUAUAGUGAACUAUAGAAACAACAGUGCCUGCUGCAGUAUAACGAGGACACCCUGAGCAGAGAGCUCCAAUAGACCCAGGUCCAGUGUCUUGGCAGGGUGAAAUGGCACUGAUAUGGUGUCCUGCAGGAUGCUGUGUCCUGCAAUCCUGUGUGCUGUGCUACAGACGCGUGUGGAGGUCAACCCAAAAUGGGCACAGUCUCACCACAGAAGAGUGAAAGAGGCUCCCAGAAGUGAGACUGAGUGCCUGUUGCAGUAUGACGAGGACGCAGUGACCAGAGACCUUCAGUAGACCCUGCUGGCAUGAUUGGCGUCUGAAGAACAUGAAAUCAACAGCAAUGUUUAUAAUGUUGUACAUACCUGUAUAGUCUGUAUUAAAAGGCAGUACCUGUA
This is a long non-coding RNA of Engraulis encrasicolus (European anchovy), 883 nucleotides long. RefSeq lists it as uncharacterized. The record is from RefSeq and is a predicted model, not a curated record. Lineage: Eukaryota; Metazoa; Chordata; Actinopteri; Clupeiformes; Engraulidae. The transcript has 7 exons.